AUGAGACAAAAGAUCCUCUUUCUAAAGAGAUUCAAUUCGGAACUUUUAUAUGUCCAAGGUCAAUAUGGAAAUUCUUUCAGAGGGUUUUUCUUACUUUGUCCGCGUUUGAGGGCCGGCGUUGGAGAUGCCCUUACAAUGAUACCCCGCAAAAAGAGUAAGAAUCAUUACGGUCAACGAUCUAGAAAAACCACUGACCAACUACUCGUACUAGUAAUGCAACGCCAAUGCACGUGUUGA
Molecule: ribosomal RNA, 237 nt
Filed under: Triticum aestivum (bread wheat)
Lineage: Eukaryota; Viridiplantae; Streptophyta; Magnoliopsida; Poales; Poaceae
Description: partial small subunit ribosomal RNA
Source: RNAcentral